GGCCGUCUGGCGGAACUGGCAGACGCAGUGGACUCAAAAUCCACCGACCGCAAGGUCAUCCCGGUUCGAUUCCGGGGACGGCCA
Molecule: transfer RNA, 84 nt
Filed under: Deltaproteobacteria bacterium
Lineage: Bacteria; Pseudomonadati; Myxococcota; Myxococcia
Also listed under: 1 other name
Description: tRNA-Leu
Rfam family: tRNA
About the family: Transfer RNA (tRNA) molecules are approximately 80 nucleotides in length. Their secondary structure includes four short double-helical elements and three loops (D, anti-codon, and T loops). Further hydrogen bonds mediate the characteristic L-shaped molecular structure. tRNAs have two regions of fundamental functional importance: the anti-codon, which is responsible for specific mRNA codon recognition, and the 3' end, to which the tRNAs corresponding amino acid is attached (by aminoacyl-tRNA synthetases). tRNAs cope with the degeneracy of the genetic code in two manners: having more than one tRNA (with a specific anti-codon) for a particular amino acid; and 'wobble' base-pairing, i.e. permitting non-standard base-pairing at the 3rd anti-codon position.
Source: RNAcentral